CCUACGGGAGGCAGCAGUGAGGAAUAUUGGUCAAUGGGCGUAAGCCUGAACCAGCCAAGUCGCGUGAGGGAUGAAGGUUCUAUGGAUCGUAAACCUCUUUUAUAAGGGAAUCACGUGUGGGACGUGUCCUAUUUUGUAUGUACCUUAUGAAUAAGGAUCGGCUAACUCCGUGCCAGCAGCCGCGGUAAUACGGAGGAUCCGAGCGUUAUCCGGAUUUAUUGGGUUUAAAGGGUGCGUAGGCGGCCUUUUAAGUCAGCGGUGAAAGUCUGUGGAUCAACCAUAGAAUUGCCGUUGAAACUGGGGGGUGUGAGUAGGUGUGAGGCAGGCGGAAUGCGUGGUGUAGCGGUGAAAUGCUUAGAU
This 360-nucleotide ribosomal RNA is filed under the name uncultured bacterium. RNAcentral describes it as "partial 16S ribosomal RNA". It matches the Rfam family "Bacterial small subunit ribosomal RNA", at positions 338 to 695 of the family's 1533-position model. The record is from RNAcentral.